RNAcentral lists this long non-coding RNA (400 nucleotides) under Rhinopithecus bieti (black snub-nosed monkey). Its description in RNAcentral is "lncRNA (ENSRBIG00000045086.1)". The record is from RNAcentral. Lineage: Eukaryota; Metazoa; Chordata; Mammalia; Primates; Cercopithecidae.
CCGGGCUUGUUUACAAUGGACCCUGCGCGCCGCGGCUGGGUCGGGGGUGUGGGCGCCGCGCCGCCCGCCGGCCCCGGCCCUGCGCCGGCCGCACUUCAGGGAUGGAGCGGGAGACUGGGGGGCUGCGAGCCGAGCGGGAGAGGGAGCCACAGUUUUCCGAUGCGGAUGCCGGAUCUUUCCCUUAGGUCUGGUAGGAGGAGGAGGGUCAGAGACCAUCAUGCAGACAUCAGAGACUGGGUCAGACACAGGCUCGACAGUGACCUUACAAACUUCGGUGGCUAGUCAAGCAGCAGUGCCUACACAGGUGGUACAGCAAGUACCAGUACAACAACAGGUAAGGAGCUGCUGCUCUUAGAAAAGAUGCUGUUACUUUCAUUAUGUUGGCUGUCCAACAUACCUG